AGAAGGAUAUGUUGAAGAAUCAGAUGAAUGUGUUUGAUUUAAUUAGUUAUGCCAGCAAUAAAGGAAUAUCAUCUAUUAGUUUUAGGAAAUAUAUCAACAGCUUCAUUAAGUAGAUUGGAUCUUUUGGAGAAGUUAAUGCCUAGAUAUAAUCUUGUUUUAAUUUAACAUUUAGAAGUGUUAGUUUGUUCUUUUAUAUUUAGAGGCAGUUU
Molecule: unclassified non-coding RNA, 209 nt
Filed under: Hevea brasiliensis (rubber tree)
Lineage: Eukaryota; Viridiplantae; Streptophyta; Magnoliopsida; Malpighiales; Euphorbiaceae
Source: RNAcentral